AAAAAUUAUAGAAAUAGGCCGAACAAGAGAUUAAACAAGUAAAAAGUUUACAGAAAAAAAACACUUCCUUGAAGAGUAAAAAUAUAAGAAACCCUAAAUAGACCUAAAAAGUACCGAAAGGGAAAAUUGAAAUAAUAUUUUAAUAAAAAAGAAUAAAAGUAGACCUAAAAAAACCUACCUCGUGUAUAAUGGAUUAACAAGUAAAAAGCAAGAAAAUGCCGAUCCCGAAACUAAGCGAGCUACUCUGUUCUCUUUUUUAGAAAGGACAAGGUACUGUUGCAAUAGUACCCACAAAGGACAGAGUAGAUGUGAAAUGCUAACCGCGCUAAGAUAUAGCUGGUUUUCCGCGAAAUUAGUAUGAGCUAAGACUUCUUAUAAGAAAAGAACCACAUUAAUAGUAUUAUUAAAACUUUGAAAUCUUUAGAAAGAGUCAGAACAGGAGGGAUAAACUUGCUGUUCAACAUGGAAAAAGCCAACAAUUUUAGUUAAGGUCAACAACAACAACAAACAGAUAAAAAAGAAAGGAUAGGCCUAGAAGCAGCCUCUUAAAACAAAAGCGUUAAAGCUUAAGCAAAACAGUAUCUGGAAAAUUUAUGAAAAAGAAACCAAAACUAUAAAAAAGUAACGGAACAAUCUUGUGAAAGAGAUGACAAUGUUAAUAUGAGUAAGGAAUUCUCAUUUGCAUAUUAGACGAAAAUAACCUUGUAAAAAGAAACAGUGAUAAUUUAAUAUUAGUUUCAAAAGACGUCUUCCAACGCAGGAGAGAAAGAAAAAAAAAAAAAAAAAAGGAACUCGGCAAAUGGUGCUUCGCCUGUUUACCAAAAACAUCGCCCCCCGCUAAACAGUUUUAUGAGGGGUCCUGCCUGCCCAGUGACUAAGGUUAAACGGCCGCGGUAUCUUGACCGUGCAAAGGUAGCAUAAUCACUUGUCUCCUAAAUAGAGACUGGUAUGAACGGCAAGACGGAGCUAAACUGUCUCUUUUUUUAGCCCUUAAAUUUACUUUCACGUGAAGAGGCGUGAAUAAAAUCGAUAGACGAGAAGACCCUGUCGAGCUUAAAGUAAAAAGUAAAAUUAUUAUUAGGAGUUAAAAAUCUCUAAUUAAUAACUUUAAGAAAUUGAAUUCUUUUAUGUUUACUUUAACUUUGGUUGGGGCAACCGCGGAAAAAGAAAACCUUCCGCUAGUAUAACUAUUAAACUAAGGAAAACCAUCCUAUUAUCUAAAACGAACACGUGAUCCACUUAAGGUGAUCAAAGGAACAAGUUACCGCAGGGAUAACAGCGUUAUCUUUUUUGAGAGUUCACAUUGACAAAAAGGUUUGCGACCUCGAUGUUGGAUCGGGACAUCCUAAGGGUGCAGAAGCUUUUAAGGGUUGGUCUGUUCGACCAUUAAAGUCCUACGUGAUCUGAGUUCAGACCGGCGAAAGCCAGGUCAGUUUCUAUCUUCGUAAAAAUUUUUCUUAGUACGAAAGGACCAGAAAAAAAGUGUCCAUGCAAACACUUGUAAACACUUCAAUUAAAAAC
Molecule: ribosomal RNA, 1521 nt
Filed under: Temnopleurus reevesii
Lineage: Eukaryota; Metazoa; Echinodermata; Echinoidea; Temnopleuroida; Temnopleuridae
Description: 16S ribosomal RNA
Rfam family: Bacterial large subunit ribosomal RNA
Source: RNAcentral